This 239-nucleotide ribosomal RNA is filed under the name uncultured Acanthamoeba. Its description in RNAcentral is "partial 18S ribosomal RNA". It matches the Rfam family "Eukaryotic small subunit ribosomal RNA", at positions 97 to 279 of the family's 1831-position model. Lineage: Eukaryota; Discosea; Longamoebia; Acanthamoebidae. The record is from RNAcentral.
CUCAUUAAAUCAGUUAUAGUUUAUUUGAUGGUCUCCUUUGUCUUUUUUUACCUACUUGGAUAACCGUGGUAAUUCUAGAGCUAAUACAUGCGCAAGGUCCCAAGCGCGGGGGGCAGGGCUUCACGGCUCUGUUCUCGCAUGCGCAGAGGGAUGUAUUUAUUAGGUUAAAAACCAGCGUAGCCAGCAAUGGCUACUCAUCUUCUGGUGAUUCAUAGUAACUCUUUCGGAUCGCAUUCAUG